UACGUAGGGGGCGAGCGUUAUCCAGAUUUACUGGGCGUAAAGGGCUCGUAGGCGGCCAACUAAGUCAGACGUGAAAUCCCUCGGCUUAACCGGGGAACUGCGUCUGAUACUGGAUGGCUUGAGUUUGGGAGAGGGAUGCGGAAUUCCAGGUGUAGCGGUGAAAUGCGUAGAUAUCUGGAGGAACACCGGUGGCGAAGGCGGCAUCCUGGGCCAACACUGACGCUGAGUGAGCGAAAGCCAGGGGAGCAAACGGG
RNAcentral lists this ribosomal RNA (254 nucleotides) under uncultured bacterium. Its description in RNAcentral is "partial 16S ribosomal RNA". It matches the Rfam family "Bacterial small subunit ribosomal RNA", at positions 524 to 776 of the family's 1533-position model. The record is from RNAcentral.